CUCUCUCCCUCUCUCACGACAGAUCUCAUCUCAUCUCCUUCUCUGCUUUUUUUUUUUUCCGAUUCUCUCUUCUCCACUCUAACCUCUCAUUCUCAUAUCUCAUAUAUCUCUUCUCUCCCAUCUCUCUCAACGCCUCUCUCAUCUCACCACCACCGCGCCUCCUCCUCGUCUCACCACCACCGCGUCUCCUUCUCGUCUCACCACCACCGCGUCUCCUUCUCGUCUCACCACCACUGUUCCCUGUCUCACCACCACCACGGUCGACGUCUCUCUCUCUCUCUCUCUUUGUAUCUGUGUAUCUCCUUCUCUCUGUUGCUCUAUUACGAAUCUGAUUUUGUUUUGUUUUUGGUAAAGAUAGGUGGAGGAGCCAAGGUUCAUGGCGGCUGGAGGAAGCAAGGUUCAUGGCGGCUGGAGGAAGCAAGGUUCAUGGCGGCUUGAGGAAGCAAGUCUCGUGGCGACAAGGAUGUGGAGGAGGCGGCAGGAGUUUUUUCUUUAGGUUUAGGUUUUUUAGGUCUGGUUAAGUGUCCUAAAUUGUAGUGGUCUGUAUUUUUUAAUUUCUGGUUUAGUUUUGUAAACCAGAAUUAAUCUGUAAACCAAAUUUAAUUAUUAAUAAAAUUUAUUUUAUUUUCAGUUACAAAA
This 639-nucleotide long non-coding RNA is filed under the name Brassica napus (rape). RNAcentral describes it as "long non-coding RNA (BNAP_LNC001607)". The record is from RNAcentral. Lineage: Eukaryota; Viridiplantae; Streptophyta; Magnoliopsida; Brassicales; Brassicaceae.